UGGGGGAUAUUGCACAAUGGGCGAAAGCCUGAUGCAGCGACGCCGCGUGGGGGAUGAAGGCUUUCGGGUUGUAAACCUCUUUCGCUAUCGAACAAGGCCCGCUUAGGGUGGGUUGAGGGUAGGUGGAGAAGAAGCGCCGGCUAACUACGUGCCAGCAGCCGCGGUAAUACGUAGGGCGCGAGCGUUGUCCGGAAUUAUUGGGCGUAAAGGGCUUGUAGGCGGCUUGUUGCGCCUGCUGUGAAAACGCGGGGCUUAACUUCGCGCGUGCAGUGGGUACGGGCAGGCUUGAGUGUGGUAGGGGUGACUGGAAUUCCAGGUGUAGCGGUGGAAUGCGCAGAUAUCUGGAGGAACACCGAUGGCGAAGGCAGGUCACUGGGCCAUUACUGACGCUGAGGAGCGAAAGAAUGGGUAGCGAACAGG
Molecule: ribosomal RNA, 420 nt
Filed under: bacterium
Lineage: Bacteria
Also listed under: 1 other name
Description: partial 16S ribosomal RNA
Rfam family: Bacterial small subunit ribosomal RNA
Source: RNAcentral